GAUGAAGAACGUAGCGAAAUGCGAUAAGUACUGCGAAUUGCAGAAUCCGUGAGUCAUCGAAUCUUUGAACGCACAUUGCGCCCUCUGGUAUUCCGGAGGGCAUGCCUGUUCGAGCGUCACUAUCACCCCUCAAGCCCGGCUUGUUGUUGGAUGCAGCGCUUAUCCCGCUCCUCCCAAAGAUAAUGACGGCGUCUGCGACGACUCCUGUACACUGAGCUUUCGGGCACGUACACGGCUAGAAGUCCAGACCCGGUCGCCGUCCCCCCCGCGGGGACACCCAUUACCACAAGGUUGACCUCGGAUCAGGUAGGAAUACCCGCUGAACUUAAGCAUAUCAAUAAGCGGAGGA
RNAcentral lists this unclassified non-coding RNA (349 nucleotides) under soil metagenome. RNAcentral's name for it is "partial contains 5.8S ribosomal RNA, internal transcribed spacer 2, and large subunit ribosomal RNA". The stretch from base 1 to 119 matches the Rfam family "5.8S ribosomal RNA", at positions 35 to 154 of the family's 154-position model. The record is from RNAcentral.